CUCCAUUUUUCAUCUCUUCCAUACUCAAACCCUAGCCGCUCCGCCUCUCUCUCUCAUCUCCCUUCGUUUGAUCUACCUACAACUCAAAACCUCGACAAAACACACUUCGACUUCUGCAAAAGGCAGACAGUUUUCUCUCUCUGAGAAUUAAAAAAUAUGAGCUCGCUGAACUCUCUGAGAAACCAUGCCCUCCAUUCAUGCCGAAAAAUAAUCUACUGGCUGUCACUUUCAGUAAUCUCUUUUCCUGUCGCCAAAGUCUAUAAGUUGAGCACCGUGGGUGAGCGUUUUCUUUCACCCACCUAAAAAAGGCGCUCGCUUUUUCUGUUCGUUUCUUGGGAAAAUUCUACACAUUCUGUUUUUCUCAACCCGCCAGCUGAAUUCCGGCCCCCCGAAACAAAUUCCAGGUAUAUUCCUUCGCCACUUCUCCCACUUUCGGUUUCGAUUUAAUGGCCAUUGUGAAUUUCAGUUAAUCCCCGAGUUUUUCCGCUGUCGAACAUGGCGUGGGCGCAGUUUCAGAACGACGAGCUGGAGUACGUCGUCGACGUCUACUUCGACUUCGCCGACUUCGAAGACACCGACACUUUUGCCGGUACCUAGCUCCCGGGAGCCCACGGCGCCGACUCGGACUUCGCUGAGAGCAAGGCGAAGACUGAUACUUCGGCAACUGCGUUUCCACAGUGACUGAGAGUUCUUCAGCCAUGUCUCUGUUACAAGGCAAAUGGAUCAAGAAAAAAAAUGUUCAAAAGUGUUGGUGGUGUAUAUAUGGUGCAGGCUAUCAAAUUUCUUCUCCUCCUCACAUUGUAGCUCGCCAAGAAGAGGUACGUGAUGCUCUUCGUGUUGAAAUCAAUUCCUAUUUUUCUUCUCUACAUAUUUACUUAUAAAUCUAGUGAAUGUGACUGUAAUUUCUCAUAUUAUUAGUUUAUGUUCUUCGCAUAUUUACUUUAUGAAUUUUUCUUCUUCGUUCUACAUAAUUCCAAAGGUUUCACGUUCGUAAUCGAUCACUUCGCUCACUGACGUUUUCUCAGAUUUUAAUUUGAUCUCAUGUUAAUUGUUUGAAAUAUAGAUGGCUUCAGCCCAACCCGUAUUCCAACCUCAACCCCAACCUUCAUGCCAACCCCAAUUCCAACUUCGUCGUGCCUCGAUAGCCUUAAAUCUGUCGACACAUGUCAUGGAAAAUUGAAGGAAGUAAAGUAAGCCGAAGGAUUGGACAGUUUGGAGACCAUACAAAUUAACCAAGCUCUAACAGGAUUCAAGUCCGGACGAUCAGGCCUCCUUUGUCUCUUGAAGAGAAAAGCAAGAGACAAAGCUUCUGACGAACUGAAGAGUAGGGGAGGAAGAUAAGGACCUUCCUUGUCUCUUGACGUUGUGUCCUCGAUAUCUUCAUCCCCUACUCUUCAGUUUGUCAGAAGCCUUUCUCCUCAAGAGACAAAGGAGGCCUGAUCGUCCGGACUCGAAUCCUGUUAGAGCUUGGCUAAUUUGUAUGAUCUCCAGAUUGUCCAAUCCUCCGGCCUCCUUUACUUCCGUCAAUUUACCGUGACAGGCAUCGACAGAUUUGAGACUAUCAAGGACACAGUGAAGUUAGAAUUGGGGUUGGGAUGAAGGUUGGGGUUGAGGUUUGACUACAGGUUGGGCUAAAGCCAUCUAUAUUUCAAUCAAACAAUUAACAUCAAAUCAAUUAAAAUCUGAGAAAACGUCAGUGACUGAAGUGAUCGAUUACAAAUGAGAAACCUAUAGAAUUAUAUAGAACGAAGAAGAAAAAUUCAUAAAGUAAAUAUGCGAAUAACAAAAACUAAUACUCUGAGAAAUUACAGUCACACUCACUAGAUUUAUAAGUAAAUAUGCAGAGAAUUAAAAUAGGAAUUGAUAAAAACUAGGUGGGUUUAUUUUGCACCAAAGAUGUAGGGACAUCCUAGCAACACCAAGAUAAAGACUAGUAAAUUUUUGUUUUACCUUUGACACUUGUUAAGAAAGUUUUCGUAUGUAUACUUGCACAUAACUAUUUUAUGUAAAUCUCAAAGGCUCGGCAUUGCCAACUCUUUUAUUACAUAAAACAUGGGAGAGCAAUUUGGUAAAUGUAAAUUUUAGGAGAAUCGUAUUUAUGUCCUAUUGUUGUGCAUGCUCUGUACAUAUUGGGUUUAACCUAUUUCAGUUAUAAGAUAAAGAAAAUGAGUCAUUUUUUAUAAUUUCCUAAAAUCUGUCUCAGUACACGUUACAUACUUUCUUAUAUUCUGUAUUUUUUCUAGAGAUGGUGGAGGCGGUGGUCCAUGUCCUUAACCCACAGCAGCAGCACAACACCCAGCAGAACGUCUCUGCCGGAACGACCUCCGCAGCUGCCGCCGAAAAUCCGCGACCCGUGAAAUGAUGUUAUUUGGACAGGGCAUUGGUGCUUAUUGGGAUCAUUACUGUUAUGCUGGACAUAUGGAAUGAAGAUUUUGUUUUCUCAGGAAUUGCUCGUCUGAAGCCCGGAAUGGUGAACUUCUACAAGGAAGGAAAUUUCUCGCAAUGGUGUGUUUUCGUGGACACCUAGUCACUAACACUGGCAGAUUAAGGUCACUGAAUUCAACAACUUACAUUUCAAAGUAUGGAUGAUGAUAAAGUUUAUUCGGCAAUGGAUGACAAAGUUGUGAUCGAGCAUUUUGUAGUUAUCAUGACAAAGAUUAGAUGAUGAUAAUCUAGUGAACAGUUUGUGUUUGCUUCUCUUAUUUUGUUUUCACCCCAAGAUUCUGCCCAGAAAAGUUAAAGCAAAAUUUCCUUCAAUUCGACAUGGAAUUGUUGAAAGGUGAAUUUGUAUGAGGAAUUCGGAAUACAGAUUAACGUGUAAUAAGGUUGUUCGACAUGCUUUUAGGGCAUCUUCCUUCGCGUAGUCUCGCUUGAUUUAAGAGUCUUCGCAGAAGUUGAAAGUCUUGGAUCUGUUACAAAAGAUGAUCCUCCCUACAAUUGGAAUACAGCAUAAUACAUGUUCGUCACGCCACAUAUACAGAAAGCAAGGAAUCCAAACUAACGACGGACUCAUGUGGUGUGAUUGGCUGCAUUUACGGCGCUUUUGAAUCGCAAAAUGGAAAUGGAGUCCAAAAUGAGGCCACCGAACAGCCCUUAAAUCUAGUUGUGUUGUUAACAAAAUGGAUGAAAGAGAAGGCGGGACUGCAGCGUACCACGUAAACCUGUUGAUACAUACAAUGCAUGACUCCAUAUGUUUGAUACAUUCUUAUUACAAUCUUGUAUGUGCAAGAUAUAUUGUCAAAUCCCAUGCCGUACCAUGAAAACCUGUAGGGUUGAAGGGUGAGCGCGCGGUUCCUCCACGUCAAUGGGAGCAAUGGGAGCUGUAGAACUUCACCCCUAAAAGCAUCAAACAAGUAGCAUGAACUUGUUAAUCUGCUGGCGUUAAAGCCAAUCAAGUUGCAGAAAACAAACUAUACAUCAUGCCAACAGCCCCCGCAGAAAAUCUUCCAGUUAGGAAGCGCGUGUUUAAAUGCAAUAGCACCAGUGCCAGUAGGGUAUUUGAAUGGAAGCUUAUUUGCCGAUUGCGGGUUAGGAGCCGCAAACUCAGCAAGAAGAAUAAGUCGAGGUACUUGGACAGUGGCAGCACAAGAGGCAGCAGAAUUAAGCAAACGUCAAGUAUGCAGUUGAGCAAAGAAUGGGGAAUCGAUGAAAUUUAAGGUGGUCUUGAAACACACCGGAACUGACAGAAUGAUUCGAUUGCCGGAUGCAACCUCAUAAUGAUGUCGACGAGGAUACUCAUAGACACCUGUUAUAUAUGCCUGGGGUGGUUUAUCACGUUAUAAUUGCUUUGGCAAUUUCUGAAGCUGCAACUUCGAGUACUUGGCACACAUGUGGAGAAAAGAUUCGAGGCCUGGCCAUAUUUGUGACAAAAAUCUCCAAAAAGAGGCUCAUUGCUAACCACUACUUUUUAUGUGCGUGCUCCCCCUCCAUCUUGAUCAUCUUAAAAGGUGCAAAAAUGUGGUCCAUUUGAUAUUUACUAUACACAAUACACUUCAUUUUCAAUGACAUUUU
Pyrus x bretschneideri (Chinese white pear) is the source of this 4011-nucleotide long non-coding RNA. RefSeq lists it as uncharacterized. The transcript has 5 exons. The record is from RefSeq and is a predicted model, not a curated record. Lineage: Eukaryota; Viridiplantae; Streptophyta; Magnoliopsida; Rosales; Rosaceae.